RNAcentral lists this ribosomal RNA (228 nucleotides) under uncultured bacterium. RNAcentral describes it as "partial 16S ribosomal RNA". It matches the Rfam family "Bacterial small subunit ribosomal RNA", at positions 568 to 795 of the family's 1533-position model. The record is from RNAcentral.
UGCGUAGGCGGAUUAAUAAGUCAGUGGUGAAAUCUUUCUGCUCAACCGAGAAACUGCCAUUGAUACUGUUAAUCUUGAGUUCGGUUGAGGUAGGCGGAAUGUGUAAUGUAGCGGUGAAAUGCUUAGAUAUUACACAGAACACCAAUUGCGUAGGCAGCUUACUAGACCGACACUGACGCUGAGGCACGAAAGCGUGGGGAGCGAACAGGAUUAGAUACCCUGGUAGUC